Molecule: ribosomal RNA, 463 nt
Filed under: uncultured bacterium
Lineage: Bacteria
Description: bacterial SSU rRNA
Rfam family: Bacterial small subunit ribosomal RNA
Source: RNAcentral
GACGCUGGCGGCGCGCCUAACACAUGCAAGUCGAACGAGCGAGAGAGAGCUUGCUUUCUCAAAGCGAGUGGCGAACGGGUGAGUAACGCGUGAGGAACCUGCCUCAAAGAGGGGGACAACAGUUGGAAACGACUGCUAAUACCGCAUAAGCCCACAGCUCGGCAUCGAGCGGAGGGAAAAGGAGCAAUCCGCUUUGAGAUGGCCUCGCGUCCGAUUAGCUAGUUGGUGAGGUAACGGCCCACCAAGGCAACGAUCGGUAGCCGGACUGAGAGGUUGAACGGCCACAUUGGGACUGAGACACGGCCCAGACUCCUACGGGAGGCAGCAGUGGGGAAUAUUGCACAAUGGGGGAAACCCUGAUGCAGCGACGCCGCGUGGAGGAAGAAGGUCUUCGGAUUGUAAACUCCUGUUGUUGAGGAAGAUAAUGACGGUACUCAACAAGGAAGUGACGGCUAACUACGUG